Molecule: RNA transcript, 4940 nt
Organism: Alligator mississippiensis (American alligator)
Lineage: Eukaryota; Metazoa; Chordata; Crocodylia; Alligatoridae
Exons: 2
Source: RefSeq, a predicted model, not a curated record
AAAGGGGAUUACGGGCUAAAAAUGUCAAAAGAUAGAUUAAUUACUUUCUGUCAGGAGGAGUGGCCAUCAUUUGGAGUGGGGUGGCCGGAUGUCGGUUCUUUUGAUGUGAAAUUGGCUAAUGAAGUGUUAAGUGUGAUAACAAAGGAUGGUCAUUGGGAUCAGUAUCCGUAUGUAGAUUGCUGGGUGAGUGCUGUGAUGAAUCCCAGUCCCCCAUGGGUACAGAAGUGUAAAGGAAAAAUGUGUAAGAUGUUAUUGGCAAAAGACACUGGGAGAAAGCCCCGAGUCCUCUCUGAUUCUGGUAGUGAAGUAGAUCUGACUCAAGGGUUAAGGCGCAGGGAUGAGGCUAGACUACCACAGGACCCAAGGCGCAGAGCAGAGGCUAGGACACAGCUGGGCACAGACCAAACAGAUCAGGAAGAGAUAGCCAGCACUAGCUACUCUAAGACAGGCAUAGACCAAAUGGAUCAGGAAAAAACAACCAGCACGAGCCGCUCUAAAACACCUCCCCCGUAUGAGGGAAAGAAUGUGACAGAACCUGACUCUUUAUCCCCGACUGCCCCCGAUCCUCCCCAGACCCAUUGGAGUGCUCUCCAGUCUGACCAGCCUCCCCUUCAAGAACCCAGAUCAACUCGAAAUCAGAAUCCAAACUACCAGUGUCCACUGCGGGAGAUAAUGACAGGUGGAGGGGACACUGACUUUGUUUACGUCCCCUUUAACACUUCAGAUUUAUUCAAUUGGAAAAAUCAGAAUCCCUCAUUCAGAGAAGAUCCAGAGAAGAUGCAAAAUUUGUUCCGGUCGGUUGGACAGACUCAUCGCCCCACCUGGGCUGAUAUUCAAAUGAUGUUACACACCCUUCUAACCUCUGAAGAGAGGCAUUUAGUACAGGGAACGGCAGACCAGAUAGCUGAGGAGCAUUUGUCGGCGGGAGAGGGAGGAAAUAUGCGGGACAUAUGCCCAAUUGAGAGUCCCGAUUGGGAUAAUUCAGCAGUUGGAAGACAGCGUAACCACACUUAUUUAGGAAUUAUAAUGGAAGCCCUGGGUAAGGCAGUGCCACGGGUGACCAAUCUUUCCAAAUUGUAUGAAGUCUGUCAGGGAAAGGAUGAAUCUCCCUCGGUUUUCCUGGAGCGCUUGUUUGAUGCCUUUAAGAAGUUUAGUGAUUUAAGCCCUGAAGCCAUAGAAAAUCAGCGCAUGGUGAAUCUGAUGUUUAUUGGGCAGGCGGCCCCAGAUAUAAGAAAAAAGCUGCAAAAGACUGAGGGGGCAGCAGGUAAACCGCUUUCAGAACUCAUAGAGAUUACGUAUAAAGUUUAUGGGAAUCGUGAUCAGGUGGCAGAGAGGAGAGAGGAAAAGUGUGGACAAAAACAGAUAACAAUGUUAGCAGCUGCCUUGGGCAAAAGCACAAAUAUCGGUGGGGGAUGGAAGGAGAAACCUGCAGGGGGGCAGAAGAAAGGAACAGGCCGAUUUAAGCCUGAUGAAUGUGCAUAUCCAAGAGAAAGGUCACUGGAGGAGGGAUUGCCCUAAGCUGAAAGACAAACAGAAGAAAAGUCAGCGGGGGGGCCACCAGAUGCGGGCGGACUCCUCGGUGGAAGAUUCAAGCUGAAGGAGACCGGGAUCUGAAACCACCACCCUGCGGGCCAGUGCCCGGAAAGAUCCCAUGGUGAGAAUAAAGGUUAGUGGUAGAAACUAUGAGGCUCUAGUGGAUACUGGAGCCACUUUUUCUAUGAUCCCUGUAAAGCCCCCUUUAGCUAAAGAAAGCGGAAAGCAUGUAACUGUAGAAGGCAUUGAAGGAAGGCGAAUUAAAUUACCUGUGCGUAAGCCUCUCCUCACAAAAAUUGGAAAUAACACGUUGGAACAUGCUUUUGUAGUUUCCCCCGCUUGUCCUGUAACUCUCCUGGGGCGGGACUUACUAACAAAACUACAAGCUGAAAUUUUCUUCCGUGAGGAUCAAAUUGUUGUGUGGCUGCCGGUAAAACAGGGCUCGAAUUACCAAAUGGCCCUCCGAGGAGCUGAAACUGUGUCAGAAGCCAAAGGAAUUGAGAUUUUAGAGAAUGUUGAUCCGUGUGUGGGCGGAUGGGACUCCUGCCCGGGCAAAAUGCAUUACUCCAGUCAAAAUUCCUCUAAAGGAGGGAGAGGGUCCUGUGUGUGUGAGACAGUAUCCUCUGAAAAAAGCCACCCGCACGGGUUUGAAGCCGCUGAUUGAAAAAUUCAAGCAGUAUGGGUGGUUAAUAGAGGGAUCAUCCUCCUUUAACACCCCAAUUCUGGGGGUGCCCAAGACAGAUGGCACCUCCUUUAGGUUGGUGCAAGACCUGAGAGCUGUAAACAAAAUGAUUUUAGUGGAUCAUCCUAUGGUUCCAAAUCCCCACACCAUUCUGACCCAAGUUCCAGCAGAUGCCAAGGUACUCUCAGUAUUAGAUCUGAAAGAUGCUUUCUUCUCUAUUCCGCUACACGAAGACAGUCAGAAAUUGUUUGCCUUUGAAUGGGAGGACCCAGAUACGUAUCAUAAGACUCAAUUGUUAUGGACAGUGUUACCCCAGGGAUUUGUCUCAUCCCCCCAUAUCUUUGGAACAGCAUUGCAAAAAGACCUGGAGCAUUGGAAAGGGAGACACCCUGAGGUGGCAUUGUUGCAGUAUGUUGAUGAUUUAUUAAUAGCAAGUCCCGAUGUGCAGAUGGGAAAGAGAGCGACAGAAUCCUUGCUGAAUACCCUGGGAAAGAAAGGGUAUAAGGUGUCACGGGAAAAGGCUCAAAUUUGCCAGCCAAAGGUCACCUUUUUGGGUUAUGAGAUUGAGGAGGGGGUUCGGGCUCUGAGUAGAGAUCGAAUUCAAGCAAUACAGGAUAUGCCCGCUCCCAGAAACCCCAAAGAGCUGCAAGCUUUCCUGGGACUAACCAGGUUUUGUAGACUGUGGAUUCCCGAUUAUGGGGGAAAAGCCAAACCCCUAUAUGAAUCCCUCACAAAGGAGGGUCUCACAAAUUGGAAAUGGACUAAGGAAAACCAACAUGCAUUUGAGUUGUUAAACACUGCCCUCUUGCGACCCCCAGCGUUGAUGAUUCCAAAUGGGCGCAAGCCCUAUAGACUAUGUGCAUGAGAAUAAGGGGGUUGCCUCCGGGGUCUUAACUCAACCGGUGGGCCCAACUUGGAAGCCCGUGGGCUACUACUCCAAGGUCCUAGACCCGGUGGCAAAGGGGUGGCCUGCAUGUUUGAGGGCUGCCACAGCUACUCUUGUGGAGGAGGCUCAAAAGAUUGUUAUGGGAGCUGAUAUGGAAAUACAUACCCCACGUGGAGUUCCCCAAAUCCUUGGAGGAGAGGGAGGAAAAAUUUUAAACCCCUCCAGACAAUCCAGAUAUGAAAUCUUUCUCCUAUCUAAUCCAGGCCUUACCUUCAAGCACACCACUGCUUUGAACCCAGCCACCCUGAUGCCAGAACCGGGACCCCCGUGCCAUGAUUGUCUAGAGGUAUUGACUCAGACAGUACUGAUUCAUCCUGACUUGGCAGAUGACCCACUUGAGAACCCGGAGGAGGAAUUCUUCGUAGACGGUUCAAGUAGUGUAAUACAUGGCGUGCGACAUACGGGGUGUGCUGUGGUAACAUUGACUGAGACUAUGUGGAAAGAAAAGCUCCCUGCAAAUUGGUCAGCACAAGCAGCGGAGCUCACUGCCCUGACACGCGCAUUGGAAUUAGGUUCGCUGCACCUUUCCAGAGUCUCCCGCUUGAUGCGCCGAUCCACAACUUUAAACCAGGUGACCAGGUCCUGGUACAGAAGUGGAGAAAGGAUCCUCUUGCGGAAAGGUGGGAGGGACCCUACCAGGUGCUGCUGACUACACACACAGUUGUUAGCUUAUCAAACAGCGAUAAGUGGACCCAUUGCUCGAGGGUAAAGCCUUUUCAUCAGGAGGACACCAACUCCCAGGGUGUGGUCACUCCGGAAGCUGAUAACACCCGGGAACAAAAAGCCAACAAGUGGAAAAGUGAACCUGCUGGAGGUUUGAAAUUAUGCUUGCAAAGAUGUGGGCCCUAGUCUAUUUGUUGGGACUCUUGUCCCUUUUAGGUAUAUCGAACCCAAAGGUUAUGUCCACCUGUUGUACUUGUUCUCAAAACGAGCUUGCAACCCUCAGUAAGGCUCAGUACUACUGCAAAAUCGCUUAGCUCUUGAUUAUUUACUUGCAAGUGAAGGAGGGGUAUGUAAAAAGCUGAACUUGUCAAACUGUUGUGUUAAUAUCGACGAUAAUGGUGAGAUAAUCAAAGCCUUAGCAGAUGAAACAGAAAAGGUUGCACAUGUCCCCGUCCAAACAUGGAAUGGGUGGAAUUUUGAUUGGUUUACAUCCUGGCUCCCCAAUUUUGGAUGGUUAAAAGGAGUUUUUCUCGUCUUGUGCCUGCUAAUGUCAAUACUUUGCUUGCUCCCCUGUAUUUUACCCUGUCUCAUAGCCCUCAUAAAACGGACAAUUCAGUCAGUCUUCAACCGAGAAAUGCUUGUGCAUUAUCAAAAAUUAGCACUGGCUGAAACCUAUUAAGAUUAGAGUUAGAAAGCAUCUCGAGGGGGGAGUUGUGGCAAAAAUGUCUCAUCUCACUAGACAAAAGGCUUUACAGCUGAGAACUGUAAUCUCACUACACAAAAGGCUUCACAGCUGAGAUCUGCAAAUUGUUUCUUCUCCUCUCUCCCCCACCACUGCGGGGCCAGGAGGGGGGGUCCUGUUAGGGGGAGAGAACAGUCUGAACAAUGCUUGGUUCACGAUAAGGCUGAUUUCUGUGGGAACAAAGAUUAGUUACUGCCUGCUUUGCACAUAAACUUUGCAGAAAACUGUAGCAAAUCACAGAUUGCCACAAUGGGAUCUUGUUCAUGAGAGGUAUAAAAAUGUAUCUUCAGGCAUGGCUAGGGGUCGACACGGCUUUGAGCAUUGAACUCCCUUGUCGAUCUGUUUGCAAACAAAUAAACUCGAGAUGGAUCCAG